AGCAGCCGCGGUAAUUCCAGCUCCAAUAGCGUAUAUUAAAGUUGUUGCAGUUAAAAAGCUCGUAGUUGAAUUUCGGGAUUGGCGCAUCGGUCGUGCCUCACGGGGUAUGAACUGGUGCAGUCAAUUUCUCACCUUCUGGAGAACCGCGAUGUCCUUAAUUGGAUGCCGCGGGGAACCAGGACCUUUACUUUGAAAAAUUAGAGUGUUUAAAGCAGGCAUUUUUGCUUGAAUACAUUAGCAUGGAAUAAUAAAAUAGGACGGCAUGGUUCUAUUUUGUGGUUUCUAGGACCACCGUAAUGAUUAAUAGGGAUAGUUGGGGGCAUUAGUAUUCAAUUGUCAGAGGUGAAAUUCUUGGAUUUAUUGAAGACUAACUACUGCGAAAGCAUUUGCCAAGGAUGUUUUCAUUAAUCAAGAACGAAAGUUAGGGGAUCGAAGACGAUCAGAUACCGUCGUAGUCUUAACCAUAAACUAUGCCGACUAGGAAUCAGACGAUGUUAAUUUUUAAUGACUCGUUUGGCUA
RNAcentral lists this ribosomal RNA (520 nucleotides) under uncultured Entrophospora. RNAcentral describes it as "SSU rRNA". It matches the Rfam family "Eukaryotic small subunit ribosomal RNA", at positions 569 to 1086 of the family's 1831-position model. The record is from RNAcentral. Lineage: Eukaryota; Fungi; Glomeromycota; Glomeromycetes; Entrophosporales; Entrophosporaceae.